GUGGGUCUGUCACUCCUCAACACCUUCCCCUGCUCCCUCCGGCCAGGCUGGGCAUGGCUGCUGCCAGGGCAGGGAGCUCAGUCCUCAGAGCAAGGUGCCAGGCUGCCAAGGUGCCAGGCUGGGGGACAAGGGACAAAGGUCCUGGAGGCACAGCAGGGUGU
Molecule: long non-coding RNA, 161 nt
Filed under: Zonotrichia albicollis (white-throated sparrow)
Lineage: Eukaryota; Metazoa; Chordata; Aves; Passeriformes; Passerellidae
Description: lncRNA (ENSZALG00000005883.1)
Source: RNAcentral